Molecule: unclassified non-coding RNA, 240 nt
Filed under: soil metagenome
Description: partial contains 5.8S ribosomal RNA, internal transcribed spacer 2, and large subunit ribosomal RNA
Source: RNAcentral
AACCAUAGAAACCUGCGGAGUACCUGCGGAAGGAUCAUUAUUGAAUUUAAACAAAGGGUAUUUAGGUUGUAGCUGGCUCCAUUAGUUUGGAGCAUGUGCACACCUUUUGCUCUUUUUUUAAUCCACACACACCUGUGAACCUGUGAGGCAGAGACAUGGAUGGGAGAACUUUCAUUUACUUUAAAAUGAAUGAUUGGGACCCCUACCCCCCUCUGUCUACUCAACUCUAAUAUAAACCCA